Molecule: ribosomal RNA, 418 nt
Filed under: uncultured eukaryote
Lineage: Eukaryota
Description: SSU rRNA
Rfam family: Eukaryotic small subunit ribosomal RNA
Source: RNAcentral
CGUCGUAGAGCAUUUUGGUUCUGCAUUGGAUGAGUACAAUUUAAAUCCCUUAACGAGGAACAAUUGGAGGGCAAGUCUGGUGCCAGCAGCCGCGGUAAUUCCAGCUCCAAUAGCGUAUAUUAAAGUUGUUGCAGUUAAAAAGCUCGUAGUUGAAUUUCGGGUCUUGCAAGUCGGUCUGCUUACGCGGUACUGGCAUUGUAGGACCUUACUUUCUGAGGAACCAAGGUGCUCUUCACUGAGUGCUUUGGGGAACCAGAACCUUUACCUUGAAAAAAUUAGAGUGUUUAAGGCAGGCUUAUGCUUGGAUACAUUAGCAUGGAAUAAUAGAAUAGGACUUUGGUUCUAUUUUGUUGGUUUCUAGAACCAGAGUAAUGAUUAAUAGGGAUAGUUGGGGGCAUUAGUAUUGAGCAGCUAGAGG